GCCUGCCUGGGCCUCCCAAAGUGCUGUUAUAGGCGUGAGCUACUGUGCCAUGCUCUGACGCUACAUUUCUAAAUCUGUUUAUCUGUAAAAUAAGAAUUACACUAUAUUUUAAAGAGGAUAUUUGCUAAACUAAAAUCAGCUGACAUAGGUGAAAUGCUUAGUAUUGUACUUGGCACAUGGUGGGUAAUCAAUGACUUUUGAAUCAGAUCCCUUAUAUGAUUGGCCCCAAAGAUAAGUUUAUUAGUGGAGGGAGAAAACCACGCAUGUGCCAGAACAUUCAAAGGAAUACUUUGCCCUUCAGAGUCUUCACGAUAGAAAGUACUAUUUGUAUUCAAGGGAUACUUGCCUUGAUAUGUAGAUAUAUAUAUGAAAGCUCUGUCUACCUAUCACUUACCUAUGUGUCUAUGCAAUAACCUUAAUGAUUGCAAAUAUUUUGUAAGGGGAGAUUUGACUUUUCAAAAAUAAAAAGUUAUUUGAUACUAGAUGAAGGACUACUUCCACUAAAUAAUAUGGUUUUUAAGUCAAAAUCAAAAUGUUAUAAAGAGACCAUGGCCUUGUGGGAUUCAUAUAAUGUCUGAAGACAGCUCUAAAAAAUGAGAGAUGGUAACUACAGGGGAGUGAGUACACUGCUUCCAUGUGGGGAUGCUUUGAAAGGAGGUCUGAUGCCAUUGACUAUAGAAGGUUAUGUUAUGUGUAUUAUCUCAUAUUUUAUAUAUCAGGUAUCAGUCCUAUGAACAAUCCUUAAAGAAACUUUAGUGGGACUGGUUUUAGAUAAUUCAUCUAAGGACAAAUAAUAAUUUGAUACUUUGCAAACUUUGAUCCACUGAAGCGUUUUAUUUCUACCAAAGACUGAUUGUUAAUAGUUUGUUCUAAGGGAAUAAUAUUCACUAUCUUGGAGAAAAUAGCUAUAAAACCAUACUGUUAUCAUUUUGAUUUUUUUGAAGUGCACAAUUGCAGACUCUUCCUCAAGUCUUUCAAAAACAUGUCAAAAUGAAUCCCAUGAGGGAAAGAACUUUAUGUCUUAACUCAUGAAUCUAUGAAAUCUGAGUUGACAAUAAUACACAAAAUACAGACAUUAUAUGAAUCCCACAAAGCACACAUAUCUUUAUUCUAGCUUUGCCAUUCUUGAACAUGUGGCUUUCAGCAAGUUUCUUAACUCUUCUUUUUCUUCCUUGUUUACAAAAAAAAUGAGGAUACUACUAGUUUAUGCCUCAAAUAAUUGUUUAAAAUAUUAAGUGAAUUUGUACAUGUAAAAUGCUUUGGUAUUUGACACAAUAUGUGAGCUCAUGCAUACUAGUUGUGCUAGAGUUAGAGGAGAUUAUGUUGACUUUUUUUUUUGCUAGUUAUAUGUCCUUGGUGCUUCACUAUUUUGCAUAUUUCCUAUGUCUCAAGACAAGAGGAAUGUUUGUCUUAAAAUAUACUUUUGAGGAUGUGCACACCAAAGUGUUUAAGGGCAGAAAACUGCAGGGUAGUGAACAGUGAUGGUAUUUGCUGCUCUAUUUACGGCUUUUUUAGCUGCCAGUUGCCCUAGAACUACAUUGGCAAACUCCCAGCAAUAACUAGCACCAUUUAGUCCUGUAAAGAAAGAGUUGCAACUGAUCCAGCAACAAUCAUUAGACACUUCCUGGGAAACAUCCUCAAGAUCUUAAGCGAUUCCUGGUUCAAUCACCUGUUUUAUUGUCUUCAACAAACUGAAGAGCAAUCAAUUGUUUAUGAACUCACCAUAAAGAAAAUAUUCUACUUCUGCAUCUAAUUAACUUGUAUCUGUCAAAGAAUUUAUAGAUUGUAAGUGAACUUGGCAUUGGCCAUUGCUUAUUAUGCUUCCUGUCUGGCUCUUACUCAUGUUGCCAUUUUGUGGACUAAAACUCAAGGCAGUUCAAAAAUACUGAUAUGCAGGUGCCAUGGAUGCUGUUGGAGUGUGUGUCCUAAGAGAGAGGGUAAGUGCUGGUUUUCCAUUUUAAACAUAGCUCGUGAUAUCAAGUUGCCCCCUCCCUUCAUUCCCUGACUCCCGUCUUCCUCCAAAAGCGGCUCUCUUGGUUUAGUAAGCAUCUCUACCCUGCAAAGCGGAAAUAAUGAAAAAUGAGAUUCACUUUGCAAGCUUGUUGGGUGAGCUUCUGGAGAAUAAUUUUUACCAAAAGCCUGAAAUCAUUUGGCAUUGUUGGUGUUUUCAAUGCAUCUGCAUCACAGCACAUUGCAUUUCACAUCUGGCCAGUUUGGAAUGAAACUUAGAAAAUCACCAGACUAUAGUGAUGUAAUUGUCAUGAAGUGGUUUUUGUAGCUUAGAGAAAAGAAAAACACUUGGCUGAAAGAAUGGUCUGAAGUCCCACCCAAAGUAAAACAUUCUAAAUUAAUAGUUGCCUAAAGACUACAGUAUUAUUAGACUUCUAUUUAAAAAAAUUCACAGUUCUAAUCAAAGAAGUGUAAUUGGAGUUUCCUUUUUAAAUAUUUGAAGACUGUAUUUACUAUUUUGAUGUUCAAAUAUUAGAUCUAUAUUUAGAAGGAAGUCCAGAGGCAUUUUAAGCUAAAUAGGAAUGUGGAUUCCUAUUCAACUUACUAUUGGAAAAAUACAUUGUCAUUAUAGACUUUUUAAAGUAUUAAGUAGCUUUUAAAAAACAUUAUAGGACUGUUAUAGCUAAAUCCUUUUAAUAUCUUCAUUACUCUUAAUUCUCUAGGAGUUUAGUAACAUUUUGCUUUUUUUGGUAAAAUUUGAAGUCUAAUUUACUAGUUGGCUAUUUCUUUACAUUGAGAAUGGUUAUUACUUUUUCACUCUGAACAAUUGAAAAUUAAGAAAAAUUACACUUAAAUAUAAAUUCUUGAUGGUUUUCUUUGCUGUUCUUUUCAUUUAUUAUUGGAAAACAGAUACUGCAUUAAAGUAUUUGUUGAAAUAUGCCUAAGUGUGUUUUCAGAUUGGCAUACUUAGAUAGUACCUGGAUUCAUUGGUUUCCUAUUUAUUAUAGCUUCAUCUGGGAUAAAUGUAUAGAAAUCUUGUCAUUACCUUUAGAAAUUUUAUUUGAGUGGCUCAAUGUUACGAGUAUUCUAAAUGCUAACCUAUUUCAUUUUGAUUUUUUUCUAAGUGAAUAUGUUUAGGUGGUAUGAUUCUUUUAACUCAUAAUUAUUAUGCCAUUGUGACGCAUUAAUUUUUGGCAGUGAUUAUUGUUAAAGUAAACAAAUAUAUACCCCCCACCAAAGCACCAAGUUUCAUACAAGUUUUUAAACAACCAUUUCUUUCUUUUUAGAAAAAUUGAUACAUAAUAAUUGUACGUAUUUUAGAAGGCACGAUGUGAUGUUUCCAUAUAUGUAUAUAUUUGUGUAAUGAUAAAAUCAGGGUAAUUAGCAUAUCCAUCAUCUUAAACAGCUACCAUUUCUUUGAACAACCCAUUUCUAAAUGCUGGAUGGAUGUGUGAAUAAAUGCCAUUUUAUAAUGGUGGUUAUUUUCACAACAAAUUAAUAUAUUUCACAUUUCAUAAAUUAGGGAUUAUGAAUUAUAAAUAAAAUAUUUUUCCCACGUAGUAUUUGCAAAGUAACUGCUUUCACUGCUAAUGGGAAAAUGUCCUUUUAAAAAAAAUUUGGAUGUAAGAACUUUCAAGAUGAGGCCUUGAGAGAACUGGGCACGAACUUCAGACCUGUGAAAUUUUUAGUUUACCUCCUUCUGGACCUUGAAUCUUGUAAAUUUUCUUUAUAGUUUAUUCAUCAGAAAUUAAAAUCUCAAUCAACAUUAUGCUUUGACCCAAUAAGCAUCAUACUACUAGUUUCAAAUAUCGUGGAUUUUACUGGGAUACUCCUGGUCACACAAGUAUUUAAUUCUGAUUAGAAGCAGAGUCAUGUCUGCAUCUGCUAAAAUCCAGAGCCUUUAAUCCUGGCAAAACUGGAGGUUCUUCAGAAGCCCGUGAAACUUAAAGGUAGCUUAAUAUACAGUGAAUUGUGUUUAUGUUUGGAGUAUAUGGUUCACAUCAUAACACAUUUUUGAGUCCCCAAACUUUGGAAAGAUGCCCCAGCCACAUCUUUCUCUUUAAUAGAAGUUCGGAAAUAGCCAAAGUUGUUAUUCCCAGGUAAGCUUUCUAGAGUCACUUUGGGAUUUUCUUGAGUGAUUUUGUUUGCAUUAUGUGUCAUUUGCAUAGUCCUUUAAAGGGUGCUGAUGUUAACUGAGUUGCUUCCCUUGUAGGAGCAGAAUCAUUUUAAUAGCUGUUAUAGAAGAACAGCACUUUUUUGUUAGUAAAAUAAUACAACUGGAUGGGAAGGAAAUAACUGUAUUUGCAUAUUUUCCUGCAUCAGUGAGCACUCUCAUCAGUUUUAUUUUUUAUAUUUUAAAAAAUAUAAAAUAAUCACCCAGUCCUUUUUUCUCUUCUGUUGUGCUCUUCUGAGAAAAUAGGUUUGGGGGGUUUAUUGUGAGUAUGAAUACUUAAUUGGGUGGAGAAACUUGAUCCAGGUGGCUGCAGAAGCAAGUUGUUUCUGAGGGCUGGCUGGACAAAUUUGAACCUGCCCCACACAGUGAUAUUCGCCAUUUUACUGUGUAAACCACAAUAGGUUGUUUGAUCUGCUUGAGAUCGCAAUAUAUUUAAUUGUGCUUGGAAAAUACAGUUUGGAGGUUUUGUAAAAUCAAAAAAAAGAGCUUUUUAAAAAUAGUCUAACUUAUUUCAGAGUUUUUUAAUACAGAUGCUGGAAAUUUAUGGGGUCCAAAAGAAACUGGAAUAUUCUGAAAGAGUUGGAGUGGGAGGAAAUGAGGACUUGGGGUGUUCAUUGUACCUCUGGAUCCUCCUCUGCCAAAAGGAUUUUGUAGCAUAAGGAAUUGAAGAUGUCAUAGCUUUGGAAAUGCCAGUAAAUGUAAGGUUGAAUUCAGAAUCUUGAUCAGGAAGAACUUCCGGUUCUUUCCCUGAUGAAAAAUAUGGUCUCUUGUAAUUUCCAGAAGAACAAUUGCUAAUGCUUAAUUUGAACAAAAAUUAGUCUUCAAGAACUAAAAUAUUAAAGACAAAAUAUAUCUUGGUAGAUGAAAUAAAAGAUUAAUGUUUAAUAUAAAAUAUUAGGCAAAUGAGAUGAGUGAAUUUUUUUAGUCUGCAAGUAAAAUGUCAACUCUUUCAAAAAUAUAAUUUAUAUAUAUAUCUUUUAUGCUAUAAUUUUUAAAGGUCAUGCAUUUUAUAAUUCAUGUUGAUUAACACUAUGUAUAAUAGUUUUAUAUAUUUGGAAUUCUAGAUUAUCUCUAUUUAAAGAAAACAUUUUACUAUAAAAAUCACGCACAAAAGUGGAGACAAUGAUUUAAUAAAUCCCAUCUUGCAAGCUUCAACACUUUGCCAUAUUGCUAUUUUGUCAUUGGGGGUAGAGAGCGCUGAAAUAUUACAAAAUGAAUCUUAGACAUAUCAUUUGCUUUUAAAUGCUUCAUAUACGUGUCUAAAAAAGGGAGUUUUUUUUAGAUAACUACAACAAUAUUCACACAUAGAAAAGUUAUAAUGAUCCCUUCAUAUGCUCUAAUCCCUAGUUUACAUUCAAGUUUCCCUUAUGGCUCACAUAUGCCCUCUGUAGCUAGUUUGAAUCUCAAUUCAAGUCAGUUUCCACUCAUUGCAUUUGUUAUAUCUCUCAAGACUUAAAUUUUAGAACAAUUUCUACUUUUCCCUCCUCUCUGUUUCUUGGCAUUGAUAUUGAUGAAAUUUGACCAGGGGUCCUAUAGAAUGUUCUGUAUUCUACAUUUUUCUUAUUUCAUCCUAGUUGUAUUUUUUAAUUUGUUCCUCCAUCCCCCAUACUUCAUGCAAACUAGAAAUUGAAUCUGAGGGAUUCUAUUAUUUUAAUAUUUUCAACAAGAAUACUUCAUAGAUGAGGUUUUGAUACAUUCUCUCAGUAUCCCAAACACAUUUGUUUAGUAACUAAUGUCAUUUUAUUCCACUCUUCAGAUGGACUUCUUGCUGCAAUAUUCAAAAGUAAUUACAUUCUGGGGGGGAAAAAAGCCUUUUCCUACCCAAUAAGUCUUUAUUAUAAUCAAAUCCUUAUGGGAGUAAACUUCAAUUAAUUGAUGCAUGAAAAAUACCAGAGACAAAGUGAACCCUUUAAUUUCUCUAAAUUUGGCUAUGCAUAAAGAAAGCUGCACCUACCAUGCCUGUCAUAAACUGUCAAUGGCCAGUCAGACUGAACCUGCUGCCCUCACAUUGCCCCUGUUGUGAGCAAGUAUCUCCAUGCUCUAGUGAACUCUUACUGAGAUAGACCUACUAUUUGGAGCUUUGAUGUCCAUCAAGGUUUUACUCCCAUCUCUAUAUUAAAGCAUCAUGUUUUUAGGUUUUGGAUAAACAUCCAAUGUAUGUCUUUUAUGAGUAAAACAGAUCACAAGAAAUUAUGAUAUGUGUUUGGUUUGCUUACAGACCUUGCUGUAUCCAUUUGGUUCCCUCUUAUACUUUUGUAUUUUUAACUCAACAUCUCCAUUACUUCUAGUCAUAGGGCUUGAAAUUCUCACUGUUAGAAUCAUUCUUUUUGGUCUUUCUGGAAAUGUUUAUUAAAGAGAAAUCAAGGUAUCACAUUACUUGGGAAAAAUAACGCAUAUAUAAGACUCACUGUCACCUAAACCGAGAUGAUGAUCUCAGUAGGCACUAUCCAAAGAAUGUCUUGACCUUGGACAAACAUCUCAUCUUGGAAUUUUUCUUGGGCUCUGGACACCUGGGAAACAGCUUGUAAAGACCAAAUUCUGUUGUAGAAGUGGAGAACUUCAAAAGGAGAAUAUGAGAUAUCUUGGGAUUAUUGCCUCUGGUUUCUAAUAAACUGAAUUAUGUUGAUAAUGCCUAUCCCAGGCUCUGUGGUCUGUAGAAGGAAGAGUGGAUGAGGAGUAAAGAGAUACUGAGCUUCAGUCCUGGGUUCCAGGCACUGUAGCUUGGUGAUCAACAGCCCAAACUCCAGAUUCACAUUGGGUGGCCUCUUGCUCAUGUGACCUUAGAAAAUUUACUUAACUUUCUGAGAAGCCUCAGUUUCUGAAUCUGUAAAA
RNAcentral lists this long non-coding RNA (6955 nucleotides) under Homo sapiens (human). RNAcentral's name for it is "HSALNT0358053". Lineage: Eukaryota; Metazoa; Chordata; Mammalia; Primates; Hominidae. The record is from RNAcentral.